RNAcentral lists this ribosomal RNA (180 nucleotides) under uncultured bacterium. Its description in RNAcentral is "partial 16S ribosomal RNA". It matches the Rfam family "Bacterial small subunit ribosomal RNA", at positions 1313 to 1500 of the family's 1533-position model. The record is from RNAcentral.
CGACUCCAUGAAGCUGGAUUCGCUAGUAAUCGCGCAUCAGCCACGGCGCGGUGAAUACGUUCCCGGGCCUUGUACACACCGCCCGUCAAGCCAUGGAAGCCGGGAGUGCCUGAAGUGCGUGACCGCAAGGAGCGUCCUAAGGCAAUACCGGUGACUGGGGCUAAGUCGUAACAAGGUAAC